This 315-nucleotide ribosomal RNA is filed under the name uncultured eukaryote. RNAcentral describes it as "partial 18S ribosomal RNA". It matches the Rfam family "Eukaryotic small subunit ribosomal RNA", at positions 1470 to 1796 of the family's 1831-position model. The record is from RNAcentral.
UCCUUAGACGUUCUGGGCCGCACGCGCGCUACACUGACCAGUGCAACAAGCAUCCGUCCUUGGCCGACAGGCUCGGGCAAUCUUUGAACGCUGGUCGUGAUGGGGAUAGACUUUUGCAAUUUUUGGUCUUCAACGAGGAAUUCCUAGUAAACGCAAGUCAUCAACUUGCAUUGAUUACGUCCCUGCCCUUUGUACACACCGCCCGUCGCACCUACCGAUUGAAUGGUCCGGUGAAGCCUCCGGAUUGGCGCGCACCUCGGUGCCGCCGAGAAGUUGGCUAAACCUUACCAUUUAGAGGAAGGUGAAGUCGUANCA